RNAcentral lists this ribosomal RNA (253 nucleotides) under uncultured bacterium. RNAcentral describes it as "partial 16S ribosomal RNA". It matches the Rfam family "Bacterial small subunit ribosomal RNA", at positions 524 to 776 of the family's 1533-position model. The record is from RNAcentral.
UACGGAGGGAGCUAGCGUUGUUCGGAAUUACUGGGCGUAAAGGGCGCGUAGGCGGUCUUGCAAGUCAGAUGUGAAAGCCCUGGGCUUAACCCGGGAAUUGCAUUUGAAACUGCAAGGCUAGAGUGUGGGAGAGGUAGGUAGAAUUCCCAGUGUAGAGGUGAAAUUCGUAGAUAUUGGGAAGAAUACCAGUGGCGAAGGCGGCCUACUGGACCACAACUGACGCUGAGGCGCGAAAGCGUGGGGAGCAAACAGG